Molecule: RNA transcript, 1330 nt
Organism: Hydra vulgaris (swiftwater hydra)
Lineage: Eukaryota; Metazoa; Cnidaria; Hydrozoa; Anthoathecata; Hydridae
Gene name: cilia- and flagella-associated protein 418
Source: RefSeq, a predicted model, not a curated record
AAUUGGAAAAAUUUUGCAAAAGUGAGUUGUUACAUAGUACGUUGGAAUUUUAUUUGAAGCCAUGAAAAAUUUCGAACAGAUAGUUCAAAAAAUGCUAGAUGAACAGAAAGUAAUUAUUUUAAAAGAAACCGAAAGACUUUUAAAUAUCCAAGAAAAAAACUUUUUAGCAAUGUCAAUCUCAAACAUGAAAACAAUUACAGAUCGACUUGAUUCAAUUGAAAAUGAAAAAGUUUUUAUCAAAAAGAAAAUUAUUGCCAUGCAAAAAGACAUAGACAAUAUGAAAGAGAGUUUAAAUUCGCAAGUAGAAAUUUUUGUGGGGAAAUUGUCAGAAUUAAAUAAACAUAUAGAAACGGAAUUAAAGCAUAACGAAGAUAAAAAAAAAAUUGAGUCAAAAAAAAUCGUUAAAGUGCUUAAAAUAUUUAAUAAAAAUUUUUGCAAUAUUGAAAAGUAUCUAAGAUCAAUUACUGGCGUUUUAAUAUACGAACGGUUUGCAAACGAAACUGAAGAAUUUCAAGAUAAAGUUGGUAACGACGUGGAAGAACUGCAUCUAGAAGAUCAAAUGGACGAGAUUGAUGAUUUACUUGAUGAAGUUGAGCAAAAGUAUUGUUCAAAGGAAGAAAACACAUCAAACAAAAAUCGAACAAAACUUCCAUUUCAGAAAGAAACCAAUGUUUUGACUCUAAAUGUACCAAAAUCAAAGCAAAGUGAACUAGAUGAUAUUGUCAAUGAAAUUAUGAAUGAUGAUAGCUUGGAAAAGCCAUAUAAAAAUAAUUCACGAAGAUCAUCCACUCAUUCCCAAAGUUCUUCUUCAUCUCAAGAAGAAUCUAAAUUAAAGAUUAAAUGCUCAGAAAUUUUAAUUGGUGGUACACAGGCACAAUUUGGAGCUGCCAGCCACUUUUAUAAAAGGAUAACGUAGUUGUGGUCUAGGGUUACUUGAUUUCACUCAUCUUGGGAGGGGAUCUAUUACAACAUAUUGCCUAUGGCCCUUACAAUUUGCAUUCAGUGAUUCAAGCGAUAAAUAAAUGAGUAUGUAAUCAAAUUCAUUGUCUCUCUUGCGAUAACAGAGUUGUAUAUUUUGAUAACUAUGAAUGGAAUGAAGAAAGUUGUGAUUAUUUAGUAUUUAGAAAUAAUUAUCCUGAUUUCAGCAGAUUAAAGUUUGUGCUCCAUCCAAGAAACGGUUUCCGCGCAUAUUGUUGUCAAUGCAGUUGGUUGUACGUCAAAGAGCCGAUUGAAUUAGAAAAAUGUAAACCAAACUUCAAAUGGAUUUGCAAAAAACAUAAUCGUUAAUUCUUUUUCAAUAUAUAUUAUAAACAGUUUUAAUUAUACCUUU